AGCUGUGACGUUACUCGCAGAAGAAGGACCGGCUAACUCCGUGCCAGCAGCCGCGGUAAUACGGAGGGUCCGAGCGUUAAUCGGAAUUACUGGGCGUAAAGCGUACGCAGGCGGUUUGUUAAGCGAGAUGUGAAAGCCCCGGGCUCAACCUGGGAACUGCAUUUCGAACUGACAAACUAGAGUUUUGUAGAGGGUGGUAGAAUUUCAGGUGUAGCGGUGAAAUGCGUAGAGAUCUGAAGGAAUACCAGUGGCGAAGGCGGCCACCUGGACAAUAACUGACGCUCAUGUACGAAAGCGUGGGGAGCAAACGGGAUUAGAUACCCCGGUAGUCCACGCCGUAAACGAUGUCAACUAGCCGACUGGCCCCUUGAGGGCUGGGUGGCGCAGCUAACGCAUUAAGUUGACCGCCUGGGGAGUACGGCCGCAAGGUUAAAACUCAAAUGAAUUGACGGGGGCCCGCACAAGCGGUGGAGCAUGUGGUUUAAUUCGAUGCAACGCGAAGAACCUUACCUACUCUUGACAUCCACAGAAUUUAGCAGAGAUGCUUUAGUGCCUUCGGGAACUGUGAGACAGGUGCUGCAUGGCUGUCGUCAGCUCGUGUUGUGAAAUGUUGGGUUAAGUCCCGCAACGAGCGCAACCCCUAUCCUUAGUUGCCAGCACGUAAUGGUGGGA
RNAcentral lists this ribosomal RNA (672 nucleotides) under uncultured bacterium. RNAcentral describes it as "bacterial SSU rRNA". It matches the Rfam family "Bacterial small subunit ribosomal RNA", at positions 465 to 1136 of the family's 1533-position model. The record is from RNAcentral.